RNAcentral lists this unclassified non-coding RNA (342 nucleotides) under soil metagenome. Its description in RNAcentral is "partial contains 5.8S ribosomal RNA, internal transcribed spacer 2, and large subunit ribosomal RNA". The stretch from base 1 to 120 matches the Rfam family "5.8S ribosomal RNA", at positions 35 to 154 of the family's 154-position model. The record is from RNAcentral.
GAUGAAGAACGUAGCGAAAUGCGAUAAGUAAUGUGAAUUGCAGAAUUCAGUGAAUCAUCGAGUCUUUGAACGCACAUUGCGCCCUCUGGUAUUCCGGAGGGCAUGCCUGUCCGAGCGUCAUUGCUGCCCUCAAGCACGGCUUGUGUGUUGGGCCCCGUCCUCCUUCCGGGGGACGGGUCCGAAAGGCAGCGGCGGCACCGCGUCCGGUCCUCAAGCGUAUGGGGCUUUGUCACUCGCUUUGUAGGCCUGGCCGGCGCUUGCCGAUCAACCAAACUUUUAUCAGGUUGACCUCGGAUCAGGUAGGGAUACCCGCUGAACUUAAGCAUAUCAAUAAGCGGAGGA